RNAcentral lists this long non-coding RNA (962 nucleotides) under Setaria viridis. RNAcentral's name for it is "long non-coding RNA (SVIR_LNC002012)". The record is from RNAcentral. Lineage: Eukaryota; Viridiplantae; Streptophyta; Magnoliopsida; Poales; Poaceae.
UCGCCGCCUAUCCGGCAAGCUGGAUUAAGGGUUUCACUUAGUAGAUCAUUAAUAUUGCAGAGAGCGUCACAGCAAACACCUCAACGGAGAAAAAUGAUGCCCAAUGGACACCGUAGGUACUAACACCGAUACUAAUUGGGGAAAGUUUUCGCUCGUAACUCCCCACGUCAUCACCCAACAAGAAAUUUGCGGGAUGUUCUUGUGGUCAAACCUUCCGAACCAUCCCGCGUAGUGGAGCUGACACCACCAGUCACCAGAAGGCACGGAAGACGCAAAGGCUGCCGUGCGCCGAUCGCGGACGCCGGUCACUGCCGAGUAGGGGCUGCUCUGGGCCGCCGCCGCCACAGCCAGUAGGUCGAGGACGCUGGCCACAUGAGUAUGGCGCAGCAAGACUCCUCCUCCUCCACCGAGCAGGGCCAACGCCCAGCCGCCGCCGCUGCCACCGUCAACGCCAGCGCCGUCCACGCCAGGCCCGGCCCGGUGCGCUGCCGCGUCGGGGCCGCUUGCCGGCCGCGCCGAGUAGCGGCCGCCUAGAGCCGCCGUCACCACAGCCAGCAGGCCCCGGGCCGCCAGCCGCCACCGAGCAGGGGCCACCCCGGGCCGCCGCCUCCAUAGCCAGCAGAUUCCGGUGCCUUGGUCAGCAACCGCGCCGAUGAAGGCAUGACCGUGCCCGGGCAGACCCGGGCCACCGCCACCAGGAUCUGCACCGCCACCGACGGAACCGGCAGCCACCGACGUUGGGGAAAAGAGGACUCCGAGCAACUGGGGGAGAGGGAAAGGGAGAAAGGAGAUGGGGGAGGGGAAGGGGCUGUGGAAGGGGGCCGCCGCCACCGCCGCGGUGGGCGGCGGCGACGGCCGGCUGGGUCGCUGGUUUGGGGGCCGAGGGGCGGCGGGAUGCGUCGCCCCCGAGCCGGACGACGCGAGGGCCGGCGGAAAAAAAAGAAUCCCCCGGCAAGGCAAAC